UUGCCUCCGUGGUUAAAAAGCCCUAGGGUUUUAGGAAGGAGAGCGAGGAGUGUGACGACGACACCAUCUACCUCUAUGACCUCUCCGCUACCUCUUCCCUCGGUUCCCUCAACCAACACUCUGACUCUAUCACCGCCCUCUCCUUUUACGCCCUUCUCAAUCUCCCUUUUUCCUCCAACCUCAUCUUCGCCGAUCUUACCACGCUCUUCGUCCACCGGAACGUCGCUAUCAACGACCUCGCUCUGCACCCGUCCGGUGAGUGCGCCCUCACCGUUGCUCGUGACAACUGCCUCACCAUCUUUAACCUCAUUCGCGGCAGUCGCAACUACUGCUUGCGCCUCGACAAGGAAUCGUGCUUCUUCAAAUUCUUCAAAUUGGAAUGCUCCAAGCCCGUUUUCUGCGCUGCUCCUGUUAGGAUAUGUGCUUCUUCAAAUUCUUUCUCUGUUUUCUCGAAUUAUCAUCGAAUAUCAAGUUGGUUAUUUUUAUUUUCUCUGUUUCUUUUGGUGUUGUUGAUUUGUCUUGUAUGUUUAAAAACUCUAGGGUUUAGGUAGCAUUUGAUUUGAUGAAGAAAGUUUGGUAUAUUGUCACUUGUUAAGUUUUUCGGGCACAUAAUACUUGUUAAGUUUUAUGGGAUUCUUGUGGUGCAUUUUUAGGAGAUCUCCAUUGUGCUACCGAUGUUGCGUUUAGGGAAGAUUCAGAGGGCUUUUAAGAAGUGGAAGCGGAUACAUCACUCAAGAUGAGCUUCAAAAAGCCUGUGAAGAAUUUAUUAUUGAGAAUGUAUGCUUUGAGGAAAUCAUCCAAGAAGUUGAUCAAAAUAAUAAAUUGAAGAUGGUCCCAUAUAUGCUCAACUUUUUGUGCCCGUAAAUGCCAAUCUGCUCCCAAAUAGUGAGGCAUGUCAACCAGCAAAUGGUUACAAAGUGGUCUUCUGCAAGCUAAUAUGGGUCGCCGCAACAUACCAAGGUAAG
Long non-coding RNA from Vigna angularis (adzuki bean), 965 nucleotides. RefSeq lists it as uncharacterized. The record is from RefSeq and is a predicted model, not a curated record. The transcript is spliced from 4 exons. Lineage: Eukaryota; Viridiplantae; Streptophyta; Magnoliopsida; Fabales; Fabaceae.